Molecule: transfer RNA, 66 nt
Filed under: Mactra antiquata
Lineage: Eukaryota; Metazoa; Mollusca; Bivalvia; Venerida; Mactridae
Description: tRNA-Asn
Source: RNAcentral
UAAAUCUUAGUUUAAAUAGAAUGAUCGAUUGUUACUCGAUGGGAAGGUUUAAAUACCUAGGUUUAG